UUCCGGUUGAUCCUGCCGGAGGCCAUUGCUAUUGGGAUUCGAUUUAGCCAUGCUAGUCGCACGAGUUCAGACUCGUGGCGAAUAGCUCAGUAACACGUGGCCAAACUACCCUUCGGAACACAAUACCCUCGGGAAACUGAGGCUAAUAGUGUAUACCACAGUCCACCUGGAAUGAGGACUGUGCCAAACGCUCCGGCGCCGAAGGAUGUGGCUGCGGCCGAUUAGGUAGACGGUGGGGUAACGGCCCACCGUGCCAAUAAUCGGUACGGGUCAUGAGAGUGAGAACCCGGAGACGGAAUCUGAGACAAGAUUCCGGGCCCUACGGGGCGCAGCAGGCGCGAAACCUUUACACUGCACGCCAGUGCGAUAAGGGAAUCCCAAGUGCGCAGGCAUAGAGCCUGCGCUUUUGUACACCGUAGGGAGGUGUACGAAUAAGGGCUGGGCAAGACCGGUGCCAGCCGCCGCGGUAAUACCGGCAGCCCGAGUGAUGGCCGAUCUUAUUGGGCCUAAAGCGUCCGUAGCUGGCCGCACAAGUCCAUCGGAAAAUCCACCCGCCCAACGGGUGGGCGUCCGGUGGAAACUGUGUGGCUUGGGACCGGAAGGCGCGACGGGUACGUCCGGGGUAGGAGUGAAAUCCCGUAAUCCUGGACGGACCGCCGAUGGCGAAAGCACGUCGCGAGGACGGAUCCGACAGUGAGGGACGAAAGCCAGGGUCUCGAACCGGAUUAGAUACCCGGGUAGUCCUGGCCGUAAACAAUGUCUGUUAGGUGUGGCUCCCACUACGAGUGGGUGCUGUGCCGUAGGGAAGCCGCUAAACAGACCGCCUGGGAAGUACGUCCGCAAGGAUGAAACUUAAAGGAAUUGGCGGGGGAGCACUACAACCGGAGGAGCCUGCGGUUUAAUUGGAUUCAACGCCGGG
This 919-nucleotide ribosomal RNA is filed under the name uncultured archaeon. RNAcentral's name for it is "bacterial SSU rRNA". It matches the Rfam family "Archaeal small subunit ribosomal RNA", at positions 1 to 922 of the family's 1478-position model. The record is from RNAcentral.